This 264-nucleotide ribosomal RNA is filed under the name uncultured bacterium. RNAcentral's name for it is "partial 16S ribosomal RNA". It matches the Rfam family "Bacterial small subunit ribosomal RNA", at positions 793 to 1055 of the family's 1533-position model. The record is from RNAcentral.
GUCCACGCCGUAAACGAUGGGCACUAGGUGUCGGGGUAUCCACUCCCUCGGUGCCGCCGCUAACGCAUUAAGUGCCCCGCCUGGGAAGUACGGCCGCAAGGUUAAAACUCAAAGGAAUUGACGGGGCCCGCACAAGCGGUGGAGCAUGUGGUUCAAUUCGAUGCAACGCGAAGAACCUUACCUGGGUUUGACAUCUGGCGAAUCCCCGGGAAACCGGGGCGUGCCCGCAAGGGAGCGCCAAGACAGGUGCUGCAUGGCUGUCGU